Molecule: ribosomal RNA, 266 nt
Filed under: uncultured bacterium
Lineage: Bacteria
Description: partial 16S ribosomal RNA
Rfam family: Bacterial small subunit ribosomal RNA
Source: RNAcentral
GCAAGUCGAACGAGAAAAUACCUUCGGGUAUGAGUACAGUGGCGCACGGGUGAGUAACACGUGGGUAAUCUACCCCACCGGCGCGGGACAACGGUCCGAAAGGACCGCUAAUACCGCAUACGUUGUUGACGACUAAGGUUGUUACCAAGAAAGGAUGACCUCUACUUGUAAGUUAUCGCCGGGGGUUGAGCCCGCGUCCCAUCAGCUUGUUGGUAGGGUAAUGGCCUACCAAGGCUAAGACGGGUAGCUGGUCUGAGAGGAUGAUC